AAUGUGGGGUGGUGCCCACUAGGGCCAGACAAAAUGCAGAGUUUGGGGGAGGGAGGCACAAGGGAGGUGCAAGUGAUUCAGAUCUCUGUCCUCAGUCGCCUCAUCUGCCAGAUUAGGGAGCCCCUCUUGAAUAUCUACAGGAUCCUGUCCAACUCUCCUUUCUGGCCUUCUGAUAGAUUCCACACAUUCAACCAGGGGGAGCCCCAUAGCUAAGUUUCUUUCCUCACCGGUCUGUGCUGGGGGCUACGAGGAGACCCCCUUUCCACUAUGGGCAACCAGGUGAUCUGCUGCGUGGCCCUUUGUCUCUUUGGAGCAGGCACCGUGGCUGGUGGGGUCACUCAGACCCCUAAAUACCUGCUCAAAAAGGAAGGCGGAGCUGUGACCCUGGAAUGUGAACAGGAUUUUGAUUACGACUCAAUGUACUGGUACCGACAGGACCCAGGUCUAGGACUGAGGCGGAUCUUCUUCUCGCAAUUUGUAAACACUGUUCAGAAAGAAGACAUAGCUAAAGGCUACAGCGCCUCUCGUGAAAAGAAGCCUUUCUUUCCUCUUACCGUGACAUCAGCACAGAAGAACCAGACUGGCUCUGUAUCUCUGUGCUGCUAGUAGAGACACAGCCUCUGGGCUUGGUGCGCUCGUCUCUCAGCAGCCCCGCAGGGCUGUCAGUAAGAGUGGAGCCUCUGUGACCAUCGAGUGCCGUGCAGUGGACUUUCAAGCUACAAGCAUGUGUUCUGGUACCGUCAGUUCCCGAAACGAGGCCUCGUGCUGA
Molecule: non-coding RNA, 769 nt
Organism: Bubalus bubalis (water buffalo)
Lineage: Eukaryota; Metazoa; Chordata; Mammalia; Artiodactyla; Bovidae
Source: the annotation of a RefSeq genome assembly